RNAcentral lists this ribosomal RNA (1336 nucleotides) under uncultured bacterium. Its description in RNAcentral is "bacterial SSU rRNA". It matches the Rfam family "Bacterial small subunit ribosomal RNA", at positions 8 to 1335 of the family's 1533-position model. The record is from RNAcentral.
AGAGUUUGAUCCUGGCUCAGAUUGAGCGCUGGCGGAAUGCUUUACACAUGCAAGUCGAACGAUGAUCCUUUUCUUGCUAUGGGGAUGAGUGGCGAGCGGGUGAGUAAUAUAUCGGAGCCUGCCUUGGGGUGAGGGAUAACUAAACCAAUCAUUACCUCCUACCGCCCACCCCCGGAGGGGAAAAGAAGGGGAUCUUCUGACCUUACGUUAUAAGAGCGGCCGAUAUCUGAUUAACUAGUUGGUGGGGUAAUGGCCUACCAAGGCGACGAUCAGUAGCUGGUCUGAGAAGACGACCAUCCACACUGGAGCUGAGACGCCGCCCACACUCCUACGGGAGGCAGCAGUGGGGAAUUUUGGACUGUGGGCGCAAGCCUGAUCCCGCCAUUCCGCGUGAGGGAAGAAGGCCUUCUGGUUGUAAAUCUCUUUCGCAAGGGAAGAAAACUUACUUUCUAAUAAAGAGUGGGGCUGACGGUACCUUGAUAACAAGCACCGGCUAACUACGUGCCGGCAGCCGCGGUAAUACGUAGGGUGCGAGCGUUAAUCGGAAUUAGUGGGCGUAUAGCGUGCGCAGGCGGUUUGGCAAGACAGAUGUCAACUCCCCGCGCUCAACUUGGGAACUGCGUUUAGAACUGCCAGAUUAAAAUAUGUCAGAGGGGGGUAGAAUUCCGCGUGUUGCCGUGAAAUGCCUAGAGAGGUGAAGGAAUCCCCACUGGGGAAGGCAGCCCCCUGGGAUAAUAUGGACGUUCAUGCACGAAAGCGUGGGGAGCAAAACAGGAUUAGAUACCCUGGUAGUCCACGCCCUAAACGAUGUCUACUAGUUGUUGGGGGAGUAAAAUCCAUGAGUAACGCAGCUAACGCGUGAAGUAGACCGCCUGGGGAGUACGGUCGCAAGAUUAAAACUCAAAGGAAUUGACGGGGGCCCGCACAAGCGGUGGAUUAUGUGGAUUAAUUCGAUGCAACGCGAAAAACCUUACCUGGCCUUGACAUGCCACUAACGAAGCAGAGAUGCAUUAGGUGCCCGAAAGGGAAAGUGGACACAGGUGCUGCAUGGCUGUCGUCAGCUCGUGUCGUGAGAUGUUGGGUUAAGUCCCGCAACGAGCGCAACCCUUGCCGUUAAUUGCCAUCAUUUAGUUGGGCACUUUAAUGGGACUGCCGGUGACAAACCGGAGGAAGGUGGGGAUGACGUCAAGUCCUCAUGGCCCUUAUGGCCAGGGCUUCACACGUAAUACAAUGGUCGGUACAGAGAGUUGCCAAGCCGCGAGGUGGAGCUAAUCUCAGAAAGCCGAUCGUAGUCCGGAUUGUUCUCUGCAACUCGAGAGCAUGAAGUCGGAAUCGC